Acanthosepion pharaonis is the source of this 84-nucleotide non-coding RNA. NCBI's taxonomy places the organism in Eukaryota, Metazoa, Mollusca, Cephalopoda, Sepiida, Sepiidae. The record is from the annotation of a GenBank genome assembly.
UCUCGUACAAUCACCGGAGUUAAGCAUCGUCGAGUCUGGUCAGUACUUAGAUGGGUGACCGCUUGGGAAUACCAGGAGCUGUAA